GUUUGGUGGUAGAGGAGAUUUAAUUACCUACUCAAGAGUUGGCUAUAUGAAAAAAAAACAAUUAAUUAUGGUAACCUCACUCCAGUACUGAACUGAUUGAGUUCUUCCCCCUUCUGGAAGUCAGACCCAGUGGCCAAGCCCCUCCUAUAAUCUUUCUGUUAACUCAAUGUCAGAUCAAAGUAUACUCUGAUAUUCCCUAAAAUAUCUAGACACUUGAAUUUAAAAUAUAGAGCCACCCUCUCAUUGCUUAAGCCAUAUUAUAGCUUCAUGUACUGUAAAGGCAGGGAUGUAUAUGAUUACUUAAGACCACUAAUCUCAGUGGGAUUUCAGGACAGAACAUCAGUUGGUAAGUUAUACCAGACUAGGGGCUCACCCCUCCUUAGAUUGAAGUCCAAAUAAAAAUCUGCAUCAUUGGAUCAAAGGCCACAUAUGUGUGAUCAUCAUCAAUAAAUGAUCAUAAAGUGUGUAUGAACUGCUCUUGCCAUCCUCAUAAUAUGUAACUUCAUGACAUCAUAUCUCUAGAAAGGUGUAAUACAAUGCAAAAGAGCAAGAGGGGUAAGGCCUUGAAUCACCACUAACUUCUGACCUCAGCAAGUACCAGUGGUGUAACAAUAAUCUCGUAAGUGAGAAGGUAUAGAAAAUGUAUUCACAAGUAAAUUCUAAAGUGUGGAGCAAGUGCAAACUGUUGUUGUAUAUUAAAGGCUGGGAAGAAACAAUAUUGAAGAAAUAAUGAUUUUAAUGCAUUUAGGGCUUUCCCCUUUGAUAUUUUAUAAUUUCUUAUGAAUAAAUCAUGAUGGAAGAGAAUAAAUCUAGAGAUACAGAAUCAGAAUAAAUAAAAAUCUAACACUGGAUCCACAUCUUUGGCCAAUGAAUAUAACCACCUCAGACCUCAAUUUCUCUAUACUUAAAAUGAAGACAACAAUUAAUAUUCUUAAGUGUGAAGUAUUCAAUAGAUUUUAAAAUGGAAUCACUACUGUCAACAACACCAGCCCAAACCAACUCUGUCUAGUCCACACUUUGGUGUUGCCUCAGAAUGUACUCAGUAGUUACCAAAAAGUAAUUCUUACAUAUUGACCUAUGUGAAAUUAGCAGGGAGAGAAGCAUGGGAUUAGCACAUAGUCCCAAGACCUCUCUCCUCCUUCAGAGUGCACCUCAUCAAACAAUGCACCCCAAAUUAAGAAUCAGUGUUUCAUUCCAGAACCCAUGAUGUUGCUACCAUCACAGUACCAAAUUGAGAUGCUAUGAAGUCAUUGCACUACCAGUAGGUUACUGCUCUUUUAAAGUUACUGCUUUUAAAUCGUAAAAUAUAUCCCCCGUUCUGCAGUCAUCCCACUUCCCUAGAUGUUGCUUAGAAGCAGAUGAAGGCUCGGACGUCAUCAUUUUGCUGCCCCUAUUGACUCUGCACGCAUUUGAUUUCAGUACCUUAGACAGCUACCUGAUGGCUUCCUGGUAGGCGGGAGCAGCCUCUUCCCUUCCCAUCCUUCCGCUGCAGUCGGUCGGCUUAAUGACACCCUGGACAGCAUCCCUUCCUUCUCUACUGCCGCCAAAGUAAAUGUUGUGGGAACGGGAUCACUGAUACCACUCAGAAAGGAA
Molecule: long non-coding RNA, 1593 nt
Filed under: Bos taurus (domestic cattle)
Lineage: Eukaryota; Metazoa; Chordata; Mammalia; Artiodactyla; Bovidae
Description: long non-coding RNA NONBTAT030215
Source: RNAcentral